This 499-nucleotide ribosomal RNA is filed under the name uncultured bacterium. Its description in RNAcentral is "partial 16S ribosomal RNA". It matches the Rfam family "Bacterial small subunit ribosomal RNA", at positions 28 to 507 of the family's 1533-position model. The record is from RNAcentral.
GACGAACGCUGGCGGCGUGCCUAAUACAUGCAAGUCGAGCGAAGUUUUUCUGGUGCUUGCACUAGAAAAACUUAGCGGCGAACGUGUGAGUAACACGUAAAGAACCUCCCUCAUAGACUGGGACAACUAUGGGAAACGAUAGCUAAUACCGGAUAACAGUAUUUCUCGCAUGAGAGAUAUUUAAAAGUUGGUUAUGCUAACACUAUGAGAUGGCUUUGCGGUGCAUUAGCUAGUUGGUGGGGUAAAGGCCCACCAAGGCGACGAUGCAUAGCCGACCUGAGAGGGUGAUCGGCCACACUGGGACUGAGACACGGCCCAGACUCCUACGGGAGGCAGCAGUAGGGAAUCUUCCGCAAUGGGCGAAAGCCUGACGGAGCAACGCCGCGUGAGUGAAGAAGGAUUUCGGUUCGUAAAGCUCUGUUGUUAGGGAAGAAUGGAUAUGUAGUAACUAUACAUGUAAGAGACGGUACCUAACCAGAAAGCCACGGCUAACUACGUG